Molecule: ribosomal RNA, 300 nt
Filed under: uncultured Ferroglobus sp.
Lineage: Archaea; Methanobacteriati; Methanobacteriota; Archaeoglobi; Archaeoglobales; Archaeoglobaceae
Description: partial 16S ribosomal RNA
Rfam family: Bacterial small subunit ribosomal RNA (bases 52-300)
Source: RNAcentral
AAAAAGGAGUGUAGAAGGGGGAGGAGAGCAGGUAGGGUGCAGGUGGUAAGGGGAAGUACUGGGCGUAAAGCGUGCGCAGGCGUUUUCUGAAGUCUGUCGUGGAAUACCCGGGGGGAACCUGGGAAUUGCGAGGGAGAGUGCGAGGGUAGAGUUUGGCAGAGGGGGGUAGAAUUCCACGUGUAGCAGUGAAAUGCGUAGAGAUGUGGAGGAACACCGAUGGCGAAGGCAGCCCCCUGUGUCAAAACUGACGCUCAUGCACGAAAGCGUGGGGAGCAAACAGGAUUAGAUACCCCAGUAGUC